UACGGAGGAUGCAAGCGUUAUCCGGAUUUAUUGGGUUUAAAGGGUGCGUAGGCGGACUGGUAAGUCAGUGGUGAAAUGUCUCAGCUUAACUGAGGACCUGCCAUUGAUACUGCCAAUCUUGAGUAUAAUUGAUGUGGAUGGAAUGUGUCAUGUAGCGGUGAAAUGCUUAGAUAUGACACAGAACACCGAUAGCGAAGGCAGUCCACAAAACUAUAACUGACGCUGAGGCACGAAAGCGUGGGGAGCAAACAGGAUUAGAUACCCUGGUAGUCCACGCCGUAAACGAUGAUAACUCGAUGUGUGCGAUAUACAGUACGCGUCUAAGCGAAAGUGAUAAGUUAUCCACCUGGGGAGUACGUCCGCAAGGAUGAA
This 372-nucleotide ribosomal RNA is filed under the name uncultured bacterium. RNAcentral describes it as "bacterial SSU rRNA". It matches the Rfam family "Bacterial small subunit ribosomal RNA", at positions 524 to 898 of the family's 1533-position model. The record is from RNAcentral.